GGGCUUGUAGUUUAGCGGCUAUAACGUCACGUUUACACCGUGAAGGUCCCAGGUUCGAGUCCUGGCAGGCCCA
Molecule: transfer RNA, 73 nt
Filed under: archaeon GW2011_AR20
Lineage: Archaea
Also listed under: 1 other name
Description: tRNA-Val
Rfam family: tRNA
About the family: Transfer RNA (tRNA) molecules are approximately 80 nucleotides in length. Their secondary structure includes four short double-helical elements and three loops (D, anti-codon, and T loops).
Source: RNAcentral